Molecule: ribosomal RNA, 732 nt
Filed under: uncultured bacterium
Lineage: Bacteria
Description: bacterial SSU rRNA
Rfam family: Bacterial small subunit ribosomal RNA
Source: RNAcentral
GAUGAACGCUGACAGAAUGCUUAACACAUGCAAGUCUACUUGAAGCUAACUUCGGUUAGUGGAGGGUGGCGGACGGGUGAGUAACGCGUAAAGAACUUGCCUCACAGAUUGGGACAACAUUUGGAAACGAAUGCUAAUACCGGAUAUUAUGAUACUUCCGCAUGGAAGAAUCAUGAAAGCUAUAUGCGCUGUGAGAGAGCUUUGCGUCCCAUUAGCUAGUUGGAGAGGUAACGGCUCACCAAGGCGAUGAUGGGUAGCCGGCCUGAGAGGGUGAACGGCCACAAGGGGACUGAGACACGGCCCUUACUCCUACGGGAGGCAGCAGUGGGGAAUAUUGGACAAUGGACCAAAAGUCUGAUCCAGCAAUUCUGUGUGCACGAUGAAGUUUUUCGGAAUGUAAGGUGCUUUCAGUUGGGAAGAAGCAAGUGACGGUACCAACAGAAGAAGCGACGGCUAAAUACGUGCCAGCAGCCGCGGUAAUACGUAUGUCGCAAGCGUUAUCCGGAUUUAUUGGGCGUAAAGCGCGUCUAGGUGGUUAUAUAAGUCUGAUGUGAAAAUGCGGGGCUCAACUCCGUAUUGCGUUGGAAACUGUGUGACUAGAGUACUGGAGAGGUAAGCGGAACUACAAGUGUAGAGGUGAAAUUCGUAGAUAUUUGUAGGAAUGCCGAUGGGGAAGCCAGCUUACUGGACAGAUACUGACGCUAAAGCGCGAAAGCGUGGGUAGCAAACAGG